This 436-nucleotide long non-coding RNA is filed under the name Pogona vitticeps (central bearded dragon). RNAcentral's name for it is "lncRNA (ENSPVIG00000010297.1)". Lineage: Eukaryota; Metazoa; Chordata; Lepidosauria; Squamata; Agamidae. The record is from RNAcentral.
CCUCUGAAUCUCAUAUCUGCUAAACUUGCACCACAGCCAUGGCUGGAAUGGUAAAGUUGAAACCUACAGGCAUCAGGCACGGCCAAAGCUAACAAGAGAACAGAGCAAUAGGUUUCUUAUUCUGAAGAGUGUCACAUUCCAGGCCUACCAUGAGCCUUUUUUCUGGAGGAAUUGCAAGUUAACAUUUGUCAAUGGGAUUGUUCUGAGAAGCUGGAUUAUUUGCCAACCACCUUCUGCCCAAGGAAGGAUUUUAAACACUAGCCCAGACACAGAUCAUAUCCCAACACAAACAUACCAUCUGAUUAUCUUCACACUCCAUGCUGGCCCUGUCCCCAGUGAAAGGGCAGAAGGAAAACUUCAGGAAAGCAAGGUAACAUCAUAGCAGCUGAGAUUCAAAAUGAACAUUACAGUAAGUCUGUCAUUGGAACUGCAGAUC